RNAcentral lists this non-coding RNA (27 nucleotides) under Rattus norvegicus (Norway rat). Lineage: Eukaryota; Metazoa; Chordata; Mammalia; Rodentia; Muridae. The record is from RNAcentral.
CAAACCAACCACUGAUGGGCUUGUAGC